ACGAAGGCAGCAGUGGGGGAUAUUGCACAAUGGGGGAAACCCUGAUGCAGCGACGCCGCGUGAGCGAAGAAGUAUUUCGGUAUGUAAAGCUCUAUCAGCAGGGAAGAAAAUGACGGUACCUGACUAAGAAGCCCCGGCUAACUACGUGCCAGCAGCCGCGGUAAUACGUAGGGGGCAAGCGUUAUCCGGAUUUACUGGGUGUAAAGGGAGCGUAGACGGCGAGGCAAGUCUGAUGUGAAAGCUCGGGGCUCAACCCCGGAACUGCAUUGGAAACUGUUUUGCUAGAGUGUCGGAGAGGUAAGCGGAAUUCCUAGUGUAGCGGUGAAAUGCGUAGAUAUUAGGAGGAACACCAGUGGCGAAGGCGGCUUACUGGACGAUAACUGACGUUGAGGCUCGAAAGCGUGGGGAGCAAACAGGAUUAGAUACCCUGGUA
RNAcentral lists this ribosomal RNA (433 nucleotides) under uncultured bacterium. RNAcentral describes it as "partial 16S ribosomal RNA". It matches the Rfam family "Bacterial small subunit ribosomal RNA", at positions 341 to 792 of the family's 1533-position model. The record is from RNAcentral.